GUGUUAAAAAUGACCGCUGAAUUUUUUGAUUUAUUGCUCGUGCUUUGGCAGCAUUGAUUUCAAUAAUUAAACGCGACCGACAACGCGAUGUUUUUGCAUUGCCGAAGACAUUUUUUGUCACUUGGAAGUGUUUUCUAUUUCAUUGCUUCGUCAUUCAUUUUCAUACCUCUGACCAAGGUACACGUUUUUAGUUUAUUUCUGUACAAAUCGUAAUCGGUCAAUUUUAUUAAAGUUGAAUUGAGGGAUUAGAUUACGUGUGAUUUACUAGAUAUUUUAAAGCUCCGCUACAUACACAUGUCUAUGAAUUAUCUUACGUUCAAUAAAUGAUUACGAAUGGAGAA
This is a long non-coding RNA of Bradysia coprophila, 341 nucleotides long. The record is from RefSeq and is a predicted model, not a curated record. Lineage: Eukaryota; Metazoa; Arthropoda; Insecta; Diptera; Sciaridae.